UAGGGAAUCUUCGGCAAUGGACGAAAGUCUGACCGAGCAACGCCGCGUGAGUGAAGAAGGCUUUCGGAUCGUAAAACUCUGUUGUUAGAGAAGAACAAGGACGUUAGUAACUGAACGUCCCCUGACGGUAUCUAACCAGAAAGCCACGGCUAACUACGUGCCAGCAGCCGCGGUAAUACGUAGGUGGCAAGCGUUGUCCGGAUUUAUUGGGCGUAAAGCGAGCGCAGGCGGUUUCUUAAGUCUGAUGUGAAAGCCCCCGGCUCAACCGGGGAGGGUCAUUGGAAACUGGGAGACUUGAGUGCAGAAGAGGAGAGUGGAAUUCCAUGUGUAGCGGUGAAAUGCGUAGAUAUAUGGAGGAACACCAGUGGCGAAGGCGGCUCGCUGGUCUGUAACUGACGCUGAGGCUCGAAAGCGUGGGGAGCAAACAGG
RNAcentral lists this ribosomal RNA (429 nucleotides) under Gemmatimonadota bacterium. Its description in RNAcentral is "Gemmatimonadetes bacterium partial 16S ribosomal RNA". It matches the Rfam family "Bacterial small subunit ribosomal RNA", at positions 355 to 776 of the family's 1533-position model. Lineage: Bacteria; Pseudomonadati; Gemmatimonadota. The record is from RNAcentral.